Molecule: ribosomal RNA, 554 nt
Filed under: uncultured bacterium
Lineage: Bacteria
Description: partial 16S ribosomal RNA
Rfam family: Bacterial small subunit ribosomal RNA
Source: RNAcentral
UAGGGAAUCUUCCACAAUGGACGCAAGUCUGAUGGAGCAACGCCGCGUGAGUGAAGAAGGUUUUCGGACCGUAAAGCUCUGUUGUUGGUGAAGAAGGAUAGAGGUAGUAACUGGCCUUUAUUUGACGGUAAUCGACCAGAAAGUCACGGCUAACUACGUGCCAGCAGCCGCGGUAAUACGUAGGUGGCAAGCGUUGUCCGGAUUUAUUGGGCGUAAAGCGAGCGCAGGCGGAAGAAUAAGUCUGAUGUGAAAGCCCUCGGCUUAACCGAGGAAUUGCAUCGGAAACUGUUUUUCUUGAGUGCAGAAGAGGAGAGUAGAACUCCAUGUGUAGCGGUGGAAUGCGUAGAUAUAUGGAAGAAUACCAGUGGCGAAGGCGGCUCUCUGGUCUGCAACUGACGCUGAGGCUCGAAAGCAUGGUAGCGAACAGGUAUAGAUACCCUGGUAGUCCAUGCCGUAAACGAUGAGUGCUAAGUGUUGGGAGGCUUCCGCCUCUCAGUGCUGCAGCUAACGCAUUAAGCACUCCGCCUGGGGGAGUACGACCGCAAGGUUGAAAC